Molecule: small RNA, 71 nt
Filed under: Erysipelotrichaceae bacterium 5_2_54FAA
Lineage: Bacteria; Bacillati; Bacillota; Erysipelotrichia; Erysipelotrichales; Erysipelotrichaceae
Description: Oppression of Hydrophobic ORF by sRNA
Rfam family: Oppression of Hydrophobic ORF by sRNA
Source: Rfam by way of RNAcentral
GUUGAAAUUUAUUUCAUAACAAUUAAGUAAAGCAAAAGCUCCGAUUUAUUCAAAAUCGGAGCUUUUGCUUU